UUAAAUUGAAGAGUUUGAUCAUGGCUCAGAUUGAACGCUGGCGGCAGGCCUAACACAUGCAAGUCGAACGGUAACAGGGAUCAGCUUGCUGAUUCGCU
This 98-nucleotide ribosomal RNA is filed under the name Escherichia sp. MOD1-EC6475. RNAcentral's name for it is "partial 16S ribosomal RNA". It matches the Rfam family "Bacterial small subunit ribosomal RNA", at positions 1 to 92 of the family's 1533-position model. The record is from RNAcentral. Lineage: Bacteria; Pseudomonadati; Pseudomonadota; Gammaproteobacteria; Enterobacterales; Enterobacteriaceae.